AGAGUUUGAUCCUGGCUCAGGAUGAACGCUGGCGGCGUGCUUAACACAUGCAAGUCGAACGAAGCACUUUAUUUGAUUUCCUUCGGGACUGAUUAUUUUGUGACUGAGUGGCGGACGGGUGAGUAACGCGUGGGUAACCUGCCUUGUACAGGGGGAUAACAGUUGGAAACGGCUGCUAAUACCGCAUAAGCGCACGGCAUCGCAUGAUGCAGUGUGAAAAACUCCGGUGGUAUAAGAUGGACCCGCGUUGGAUUAGCUAGUUGGUGAGGUAACGGCCCACCAAGGCGACGAUCCAUAGCCGACCUGAGAGGGUGACCGGCCACAUUGGGACUGAGACACGGCCCAAACUCCUACGGGAGGCAGCAGUGGGGAAUAUUGCACAAUGGGCGAAAGCCUGAUGCAGCGACGCCGCGUGAGCGAAGAAGUAUUUCGGUAUGUAAAGCUCUAUCAGCAGGGAAGAUAAUGACGGUACCUGACUAAGAAGCACCGGCUAAAUACGUGCCAGCAGCCGCGGUAAUACGUAUGGUGCAAGCGUUAUCCGGAUUUACUGGGUGUAAAGGGAGCGCAGGCGGUGCGGCAAGUCUGAUGUGAAAGCCCGGGGCUCAACCCCGGUACUGCAUUGGAAACUGUCGUACUAGAGUGUCGUAGGGGUAAGCGGAAUUCCUAGUGUAGCGGUGAAAUGCGUAGAUAUUAGGAGGAACACCAGUGGCGAAGGCGGCUUACUGGACGAUAACUGACGCUGAGGCUCGAAAGCGUGGGGAGCAAACAGGAUUAGAUACCCUGGUAGUCCACGCCGUAAACGAUGACUACUAGGUGU
Molecule: ribosomal RNA, 817 nt
Filed under: uncultured bacterium
Lineage: Bacteria
Description: bacterial SSU rRNA
Rfam family: Bacterial small subunit ribosomal RNA
Source: RNAcentral